This 397-nucleotide ribosomal RNA is filed under the name uncultured bacterium. Its description in RNAcentral is "bacterial SSU rRNA". It matches the Rfam family "Bacterial small subunit ribosomal RNA", at positions 30 to 429 of the family's 1533-position model. The record is from RNAcentral.
AUUGAACGCUGGCGGCAUGCCUUACACAUGCAAGUCGAACGGCAGCGGACCUUCGGGUGCCGGCGAGUGGCGAACGGGUGAGUAAUAUAUCGGAACGUACCUUUCAGUGGGGGAUAACGUAGCGAAAGUUACGCUAAUACCGCAUAUUCUGUGAGCAGGAAAGCAGGGGAUCGCAAGACCUUGCGCUGAUUGAGCGGCCGAUAUCAGAUUAGCUAGUUGGUGAGGUAAAGGACUCGACCAAGGCGACGAUCUGUAGCGGGUCUGAGAGGAUGAUCCGCCACACUGGAACUGAGACACGGUCCAGACUCCUACGGGAGGCAGCAGUGGGGAAUUUUGGACAAUGGGGGCAACCCUGAUCCAGCCAUGCCGCGUGAGUGAAGAAGGCCUCGGUUGUAAG